UGAACAAGUGUCAUUAUGUCAUGUUUCC
Molecule: small RNA, 28 nt
Filed under: Bombyx mori (domestic silkworm)
Lineage: Eukaryota; Metazoa; Arthropoda; Insecta; Lepidoptera; Bombycidae
Description: ovarian small RNA-30648
Source: RNAcentral